CACGUAAGGAGCGAGCGUUGUUCGGAAUUAUUGGGCGUAAAGGGCAUGUAGGCGGUUAUAUAAGUCCGAUGUGAAAGCACGCAGCUUAACUGCGAUGUUGCGUUGGAAACUGUAUGACUAGAAUCCGAGAGGGGUAAGUGGAAUUCCUAGUGUAGGGGUGAAAUCUGUUGAUAUUAGGAAGAACACCAGAGGCGAAGGCGACUUGCUGGCUCUGGAUUGACGCUGAGGUGCGAAAGCGUAGGUAGCGAACAGG
RNAcentral lists this ribosomal RNA (253 nucleotides) under uncultured bacterium. Its description in RNAcentral is "partial 16S ribosomal RNA". It matches the Rfam family "Bacterial small subunit ribosomal RNA", at positions 524 to 776 of the family's 1533-position model. The record is from RNAcentral.